GGUUAAGUGACUAAGCGUACACGGUGGAUGCCUAGGCAGUCAGAGGCGAUGAAGGGCGUGCUAAUCUGCGAAAAGCGUCGGUAAGGUGAUAUGAACCGUUACAACCGGCGAUACCCGAAUGGGGAAACCCAGUGUGUUUCGACACACUAUCAUGUCAUGAAUACAUAGUGGCAUGAGGCGAACCGGGGGAACUGAAACAUCUAAGUACCCCGAGGAAAAGAAAUCAACCGAGAUUCCCCCAGUAGCGGCGAGCGAACGGGGAGGAGCCCAGAACCUGAAUCGGCUUGUGUGUUAGUGGAAGCGUCUGGAAAGUCGCGCAGCAAAGGGUGAUAGCCCCGUACACUAAAAUGCACAGGUCGUGAGUUCGAUGAGUAGGGCGGGACACGUGACAUCCUGUCUGAAUAUGGGGGGACCAUCCUCCAAGGCUAAAUACUCCUGACUGACCGAUAGUGAACCAGUACCGUGAGGGAAAGGCGAAAAGAACCCCGGCGAGGGGAGUGAAAUAGAACCUGAAACCGUGUACGUACAAGCAGUGGGAGCACCUUCGUGGUGUGACUGCGUACCUUUUGUAUAAUGGGUCAGCGACUUAUAUUUUGUAGCAAGGUUAACCGUAUAGGGGAGCCGUAGGGAAACCGAGUCUUAACUGGGCGAAUAGUUGCAAGGUAUAGACCCGAAACCCGGUGAUCUAGCCAUGGGCAGGUUGAAGGUUGGGUAACACUAACUGGAGGACCGAACCGACUAAUGUUGAAAAAUUAGCGGAUGACUUGUGGCUGGGGGUGAAAGGCCAAUCAAACCGGGAGAUAGCUGGUUCUCCCCGAAAGCUAUUUAGGUAGCGCCUCGUGAACUCAUCUUCGGGGGUAGAGCACUGUUUCGGCUAGGGGGCCAUCCCGGCUUACCAAACCGAUGCAAACUCCGAAUACCGAAGAAUGUUAUCACGGGAGACACACGGCGGGUGCUAACGUCCGUCGUGAAGAGGGAAACAACCCAGACCGCCAGCUAAGGUCCCAAAGUCAUGGUUAAGUGGGAAACGAUGUGGGAAGGCAUAGACAGCCAGGAUGUUGGCUUAGAAGCAGCCAUCAUUUAAAGAAAGCGUAAUAGCUCACUGGUCGAGUCGGCCUGCGCGGAAGAUGUAACGGGGCUAAACCAUGCACCGAAGCUGCGGCAGCGACGCUUAGGCGUUGUUGGGUAGGGGAGCGUUCUGUAAGCCGUUGAAGGUGGCCUGUGAGGGUUGCUGGAGGUAUCAGAAGUGCGAAUGCUGACAUAAGUAACGAUAAAGCGGGUGAAAAGCCCGCUCGCCGGAAGACCAAGGGUUCCUGUCCAACGUUAAUCGGGGCAGGGUGAGUCGACCCCUAAGGCGAGGCUGAAAAGCGUAGUCGAUGGGAAACAGGUUAAUAUUCCUGUACUUGGUGUUACUGCGAAGGGGGGACGGAGAAGGCUAGGCUAGCCGGGCGACGGUUGUCCCGGUUUAAGCGUGUAGGGGGUGUGACCUGGUAAAUCCGGUUGCAUAUCAACCCUGAGGCGUGAUGACGAUGCACUACGGUGCAGAAGUAGUUGAUGCCCUGCUUCCAGGAAAAGCCUCUAAGCUCUAGGUAACAUUAAAUCGUACCCCAAACCGACACAGGUGGUCAGGUAGAGAAUACCAAGGCGCUUGAGAGAACUCGGGUGAAGGAACUAGGCAAAAUGGUGCCGUAACUUCGGGAGAAGGCACGCUGGCAUGUAGGUGAAGUCCUUCGCGGAUGGAGCUGAAGCCAGUCGAAGAUACCAGCUGGCUGCAACUGUUUAAUAAAAACACAGCACUGUGCAAACACGAAAGUGGACGUAUACGGUGUGACGCCUGCCCGGUGCUGGAAGGUUAAUUGAUGGGGUCAGCCGCAAGGCGAAGCUCUUGAUCGAAGCCCCAGUAAACGGCGGCCGUAACUAUAACGGUCCUAAGGUAGCGAAAUUCCUUGUCGGGUAAGUUCCGACCUGCACGAAUGGCGUAAUGAUGGCCAGGCUGUCUCCACCCGAGACUCAGUGAAAUUGAACUCGCUGUGAAGAUGCAGUGUACCCGCGGCAAGACGGAAAGACCCCGUGAACCUUUACUAUAGCUUGACACUGAACAUUGAGCCUUGAUGUGUAGGAUAGGUGGGAGGCUUUGAAGCGUGGACGCCAGUCUGCGUGGAGCCAUCCUUGAAAUACCACCCUUUAAUGUUUGAUGUUCUAACUCGGCCCCAUAAUCUGGGGUGAGGACAGUGUCUGGUGGGUAGUUUGACUGGGGCGGUCUCCUCCCAAAGAGUAACGGAGGAGCACGAAGGUUAGCUAAUCACGGUCGGACAUCGUGAGGUUAGUGCAAAGGCAUAAGCUAGCUUGACUGCGAGAGUGACGGCUCGAGCAGGUACGAAAGUAGGUCUUAGUGAUCCGGUGGUUCUGAAUGGAAGGGCCAUCGCUCAACGGAUAAAAGGUACUCCGGGGAUAACAGGCUGAUACCGCCCAAGAGUUCAUAUCGACGGCGGUGUUUGGCACCUCGAUGUCGGCUCAUCACAUCCUGGGGCUGAAGUAGGUCCCAAGGGUAUGGCUGUUCGCCAUUUAAAGUGGUACGCGAGCUGGGUUUAGAACGUCGUGAGACAGUUCGGUCCCUAUCUGCCGUGGGCGUUGGAAGAUUGAGAGGGGUUGCUCCUAGUACGAGAGGACCGGAGUGAACGCACCACUGGUGUUCGGGUUGUCAUGCCAAUGGCAUUGCCCGGUAGCUAAGUGCGGAAAAGAUAAGCGCUGAAAGCAUCUAAGCGCGAAACUUGCCUCAAGAUGAGUCUUCCCUGGGCCUUUAAGGUCCCUGAAGGAACGUUUAAGACUAAGACGUUGAUAGGCUGGGUGUGUAAGUGCAGCGAUGCAUUGAGCUAACCAGUACUAAUGAUCCGUGAGGCUUAACCUU
RNAcentral lists this ribosomal RNA (2908 nucleotides) under Serratia nevei. Its description in RNAcentral is "23S ribosomal RNA". It matches the Rfam family "Bacterial large subunit ribosomal RNA". Lineage: Bacteria; Pseudomonadati; Pseudomonadota; Gammaproteobacteria; Enterobacterales; Yersiniaceae. The record is from RNAcentral.